GUCCGCUGUUCUUCAGGGAUAACACUUUCAUUGAAAGCCAGGUUCAGGGAGCUAAUAUUUGCGAGUUCAUCCAUAAAAAGAAGAGCUCAGACGGUUGAAUAUCGACCAUCAACAAAGAAUGCCUAAUAAACCACUUUCAGCAUUGACUCUACAAGAUCGAGACAUAGAAAUUCAAAUAGAGGUCCACAGGAAAUGGGAAUUUCGAGGUGCUAUUGACAAUGGACCCAUAUUACACAUAGACAUGAUCCUGACGGAUUGCAUAGGCAAUGCUAUCCAUUGUCAAAUACCAUCAUUCCCAGCAGCUAAAAGAGGUGAUGAAUUUCAAGUGGGAAAAAUAUACAAGAUGUCCCGCUUUCCAGUAGCUCGUGCAAAAUCUUCCUACAAACCUGUUGAUGGUGAUCUCAUGUUUCUAACAAGUUACGACAAGAUUGAUCCAAAUGAACCAAAUGCAAGGAACUUCCAUGAUGUCAUUAGCAUUAUUACAGAAAUCUCUGCGAUUAAACCUGUGGGAAAUGCACGCAUACCCUCAUCUUACAAUCGACAUGUUCUAAUAAAAAACCUCAGUGAUAGCAUUCUGAAAAUUACUCUAUGGGGGAAACGUGCACAAGAAUUUUAUUUGACCAACACUUAUGACCCACAGAAACAAACUCUUGUCAUUGUCUUAUUUGUUGGUUGUUUACCAAAAGAAUUCCAAGGGGAAGUACUUUUAAGUGGUGGUGCAGCCUACCAUUGGUACUUCAACCCAUCAAUUGAAGAAGCUACUGCUUUUUACAACAAGAUUGAAUCUGAGAAGAUAAACAUAGAAUUACCCAGCCUUGACGGACAAGAAAUUACACCUCCACAACUUCCACAACGAGAACAUCAUGACCUUAAAUACAUAUUACCUCUAAACCCACAUGAUGUACCGGAUGAAGGAUAUGAAUGCACAGUAACCAUUACAAGUAUUCCUGAAGGCAAGACUUGGUAUUAUAUUGCUUGCAAUACUUGCCCAAACAAACCAAGCAUUGAUCCUAUCAUCCGUCAAUGCUCCACAUGUGGAUCAACAAAAUACUGCUUCAGGUACAAGCUCACUUUCAAGGCAUCAGAUGGAACUGCAGAAGCUGAAAUGUUUGCUUUCGACACUGUUGCAAGGACAAUUAUUGGGAAACCAUGUCCAAUGGUUGUUGCAUCAUUUUCCAGAUGCAUCAGCUAUCCCACCUGAAAUUACAGCAAUCGUUUCACGGAAAUACACAUUCAUUGUAGUGUUCAACAACCAAUCAUACAGAUUUCUAGAAAAAGCAUUGCUCAUAAAAGGAAUUGUAGCAUCAUAUGGAAGAAUGACAUCACUACCAAGAGUUCAAGAAAAACUUGAUGUGCACCUUCCUCCCAAUCCAGCCAAAAACAAACUGAUAACAACAGCUGCUCAAUCUCCCUCUACAGUCAUGUCUAGACUUUCCACGGCGGACUCACCAAGUGUGAGUCGAAAGCUAACCUAUUCUCCAGCAAAGGAUAAACCUGAGACAAACCCUCUUGAUGCUGAUAAAAAUAGAGCUCCUGCAACAACACUUGAAUCACCUACAAAAAGGAUCAAACAAGACCCUAAGAAUCAACAAGAGUAGACGUUGUGUGCAACACAGUAAGGAAUACUUCUGAACAUCACGCCCAAACUUCAACAAACGAAGCAUAUUCCUCACUAUUUUGUCUAUAAAUAUUAUGUGUGCCUUCUUCUAUGAAGCAAACCUUACCCUCGAUAUGCUAUAUAUAAUAUCUAUGUAUUGUCAUGUAAUAUAACCAUCUAUAAACUCAUCAGUUGCUACAAUAUAUUCUAAGCAAACCUUACCCUCG
This is an RNA transcript of Zea mays, 1824 nucleotides long. It is a transcript of the gene named replication factor a superfamily protein pseudogene, with no coding region annotated. The transcript has 16 exons. NCBI's taxonomy places the organism in Eukaryota, Viridiplantae, Streptophyta, Magnoliopsida, Poales, Poaceae. The record is from RefSeq and is marked validated.